CAGCCGCCGCGGUAAAACGGAGGGUGCAAGCGUUAUCCGGAUUCACUGGGUUUAAAGGGUGCGUAGGCGGAUCUGUAAGUCAGUGGUGAAAUCUCCAGGCUUAACCUGGAAACUGCCGUUGAUACUAUAGGUCUUGAAUUUUGUGGAGGUUAGCGGAAUAUGUCAUGUAGCGGUGAAAUGCAUAGAUAUGACAUAGAACACCAAUUGCGAAGGCAGCUGGCUACACAACUAUUGACGCUGAGGCACGAAAGCGUGGGGAUCAAACAGGAUUAGAUACCCGCGUAGUCCCUGUCUCUUAUAA
This 301-nucleotide ribosomal RNA is filed under the name uncultured bacterium. RNAcentral's name for it is "partial 16S ribosomal RNA". It matches the Rfam family "Bacterial small subunit ribosomal RNA", at positions 509 to 809 of the family's 1533-position model. The record is from RNAcentral.